RNAcentral lists this long non-coding RNA (207 nucleotides) under Elaeis guineensis (African oil palm). RNAcentral describes it as "long non-coding RNA (EGUI_LNC060114)". The record is from RNAcentral. Lineage: Eukaryota; Viridiplantae; Streptophyta; Magnoliopsida; Arecales; Arecaceae.
UGGUUGAAGGAGGAUGCCCAAGCCUAGCCAUCCCCAUCAUCUUCUCCUAGUUUGAAUAGGAGAAGGUUCUUGCUACCCACAACCUGAUAUCCCUGAUUGUUCUAAGACUUUAAGAUGCCCAAACCAUCAUAGUAGUUGCUGUUUAUGAUCUCUUUGGCCCUCUAGAAGUUGAGAUUGGCAUCCCUAAGCAAUCCUAAAAGGAUUGGG